UGGGGAAUAUUGGGCAAUGGGCGAAAGCCUGACCCAGCAACGCCGCGUGAGUGAUGAAGGCCUUCGGGUUGUAAAACUCUUUGGACAGGGACGAAGAAAGUGACGGUACCUGUAGAACAAGCCACGGCUAACUACGUGCCAGCAGCCGCGGUAAUACGUAGGGCGCAAGCGUUAUCCGGAAUUAUUGGGCGUAAAGAGCUUGUAGGCGGUUCGUCGCGUCUGGUGUGAAAGCCCAUCGCUUAACGGUGGGUUUGCGCCGGGUACGGGCGGGCUAGAGUGCAGUAGGGGAGACUGGAAUUCCCGGUGUAACGGUGGAAUGUGUAGAUAUCGGGAAGAACACCAAUGGCGAAGGCAGGUCUCUGGGCUGUUACUGACGCUGAGAAGCGAAAGCGUGGGGAGCGAACAGG
RNAcentral lists this ribosomal RNA (407 nucleotides) under Verrucomicrobiota bacterium. RNAcentral's name for it is "Verrucomicrobia bacterium partial 16S ribosomal RNA". It matches the Rfam family "Bacterial small subunit ribosomal RNA", at positions 355 to 776 of the family's 1533-position model. The record is from RNAcentral. Lineage: Bacteria; Pseudomonadati; Verrucomicrobiota.